This is an RNA transcript of Brassica napus (rape), 3403 nucleotides long. RefSeq lists it as uncharacterized. The transcript has 5 exons. The record is from RefSeq and is a predicted model, not a curated record. Lineage: Eukaryota; Viridiplantae; Streptophyta; Magnoliopsida; Brassicales; Brassicaceae.
AUUUUACAUUUUGUUAUAAUGCGCAAUACGGUAUGUGGACUUAUAUUACACCGAAAAGAUCAUUUUAGUGCCUUGGUUCUUCUCUCUCUCUCCAUCUCAAUGCUCUCUUUCUUCAAUGCUCUCUUUCUCUCUCUAAGAAACCAUUUUUUCUUCUUCUGCCAAGAAAACCCAUCUAAUGUUUGAGUAGAUGUUGAUAAAGAAGAAGUGGUGUUAUGCUGAAGCUUUUGGGAAGCGAAGAGGCAGAUAGUAACAGUGGAAGAGAGUCAAAUGUUCUUAUCCACUGAGAACACACCACAUGACCACCCACUUCCUUCUCCUUCUUCCAGUUUCGUACAUCUCACCUCUACCUCUUCCCAUGAAUUAGCUCAGUCCCAUCCCCAGAGUUUCUCCAUCAGAGAUUACGCAUAUAAUAACCGGAAGAACAACAUCAACAACAACUGGCCCUUUUCUCCCAAAAGUCUCCAACUUCUUUCAACUCAUGGAGUGACUGAUCCUUUGCCACCGUUUCAGAUCACGGCUAGUUCAUCGUCAGGGAAGCAGAUUGUAUCCCAUGUCCAACGAGGAAGACAUUUGGCUAAACUUGGGCUAAAUCAGACAAUAGUAAAGACUAGACAAGGAGAUUGUAGCCAGUCUAAGAUCGUCAGGAAUGGUUUGUUCAGGAGCACAAGUGUUUCCAAGUCUAAGGAAGGGAUAGUACUAGUAGCUGCUACAAGUAAUAAUCACCACAAGAGUAAAACGUGUGGAGGAGGAAUGGUGAAAUCCAAAGAAGCCACCAGUUGUGUUGGGAUCGAAUCAAUCAUGGCUUCAAAAACAUGUCCUAUUUGCAAAACCUUCUCAUCAGCUUCCAACACUACUUUGAAUGCUCACAUCGAUCAGUGUAUAUCCGUAGACUCACCGGUUAUUAGCAAGCCGAACAAGCCUAGAGUUAACCAGCCUCUAUCUGUUGAUUCAGCGGUGCCUUUGGUUACUAGUAACCCAAGCAAGCCUAGAGGUAAGCCACUGAUGAAAGUGAAAACAAUGGUUGAUAUCUACGCUACUGCUAAAGAAUGCACAUUAGAAGAUCUUGAUAAAAGAAAUGGAACAAAUUGGGCUGUGAUCUCGAGCUACACGAAUAGGGUUGUUGCUGAUAAGUCUGAAGUGUCCAAGAAGCGGAAAGUUGCUCCUGUCGGUGUUGGUCCUAUUUAUGUUGAUGCCAAGGGACAAAAGCUGCGGAUUUUAACAGAGUUCAGCGAGAAGAAGACUUCUUCUACUACUACUCCAUUGACAAAGCAGCACGAGGAUGGUAGUGAUGAAAAUAAAAGUGCAAGCCAAGGUAGUAAAGAAAAUAGUAAAAGCUCAAGGAAGAGACGUCCGGGAAAAAAACAUCAUAAGUAUCUUAAACUAAACAACAGUCACAAAAUCAAAGAGUCAGAGCAGGUUCAAAGAGGGGUUUCUGUAAAAGGUAGCAGCACCGGUCAUCGUAGAAUCUUUAAUCAGCGGAUGUUAGCAGAACGUGGUUCGAGUUCAAAGAAGCUAAAUGAGAAAGAAAAUAAGUUAUAUGCAUUGCGGGAUCAGCCAUCUGAUGAUGAUGAUGAUGAUGAUUCAUGGUCAGGAGGUGAUCAUGUUGUCUUGAGAGGUACUGAUUUGUCUGCCACUGGUUCGUCUUGGAAUAAGACUAUGUUUGGGAGUAAAAGGGCUCAAAGAGUUCGGAUGAGUGAGAAGCAGGAGACAUCACUUGCAGGAGCUCAUCUAAACACUGUCAGGUUGAAGAAGAGCCUUAGUUCGAUUCAAGAAGAUAAGUAUCCACCGGGAAAGAAUGUCAGAGAGGUUACAGAUGCGUCUCCUCGUGCAACUAGUCUGAGAAAGCUGUUGCCACCAUUUGUAGCAAAUGGCUGGAGACGAUUAUCUCUGCCUUUGGAACUAAAGAGAGCUCGGUUGGAUUUGUCAGAUGAAGAAGAAGAAGAAACUGGGAGAUGGGAAUCUGAAAUGACACAAGAACGUGAACUAUCAGAUGAUGAUUAUGUUUCCGGUGAUAAUGGAGAAAGAAAUGAGGUCGUACGCAGAUCAAAUCCCUUAACAUUUAGUGGUUACAAUGAAUAUGAAUAUGAAGAUGAUGAUGAUGAUGACGAAGAAAGUAGUGAAGAGGACAAAACAGAUGAGUUCUACCAGUCAGAGACUCCACCAUCUAAUGAAACCAUACCUAGCGAGAGAGCUUAUUUGUAUAACUCUGAAGGAGUUGAGAAUAUGGUUUACGAGGAGGACGAUGAUGUGAGGUUUGAUUCUGAGGUGGGAAAGGGAAGCUUAUACGUAGAGGUUGAUACCAUUCCCAUUCCAGGACCUCCUGGAUCAUUUAUACCGAGUCCCCGGGGUAUGAGUUAUGACGAGCAUCUUGGAAACUCGUCGGUUAUCACAAGCCAGCUCCAGUCUUCCAUGGAUCAGCCUGACAGACACUCAUCUGAAUCACCUGUUUCUGCUUUUUCCAACUUUGCAGCUGGUAGAUUGAGUUUUCCAGCAGAGCUAUUCUCCAUGGACGUUCCUUCUCCCUACUCCACAACCCCAGUGAGCUUUCCCGUUCCAUCUCAUCCUGAGAAGAUGACUGUUGACAAGGCAAUAACACCUCCGAGCUUUAGAAACAAUGAUGGUGAGCCUUGUUGUUGCCAAAGAAAAGAGAGAAUCUCCGAGAGCGUUACUUUGAAUCACCAACCAUAUCAUCUACUGCAGCGAAGAGCCGCAGUUUCUUCUUCUUCAAUGGCCAUGAACUUAACCAAACCGCCCACGUGUUUGGAUCCAAAUCUUUCGUUUGAGCAGUCACCACCAUACAUGAUCCAGCAAGAGUUUGAUCUUCAUAGUAAAUUCUCAAACAAGGGGAAUGUCAAUGGCGCUGUUGUGGUGCCUCCUAGUCCUUCAAACUCGGUUUUGCGGUUAAUGGGAAAAGACUUGAUGGUCAUGAACCAAGGAGAAGAAUCUCUGGCUAGCUUAAAACCAACCCCACAGUUUCUUGAUCCUCCUCCUCUAUCUGCUGGAGCUGGCUUAUACUUAAACACAGGUCUCUAUUUAAGGAACAGUUUGGAGCCAACACAUCAACUAGAAACACAAGCUUCAGCAUUCAGAAACAGUUUUGAUCAUGUGAGGUACUUUUCUCAAAGCUAGUCAACGAUCUUUAUGAAGUUUAAGAAGAAAUUGAGAAGUGGGUUCUCUUUGAAUACCGAUCAUCGAACAUGGGUGCAUUGGGUUUCAAGGUGGAGAGACGGUUUAAAGAAAGAAGAGCAGCAAAUACUAACUUACCAAUCUCCAUGUAUUCUCACAAGGAACUAUAAAUUUGGCGUAGUUUAGGACGCUUGAUUGGUUCUGUAACCGAAUGUUACUCUCAGGUUCCGGUACUGCAGGGAUUUAUAUAUUUUUUUCAAUCCAGAAAUUAAUGUCA